This 1439-nucleotide ribosomal RNA is filed under the name uncultured organism. Its description in RNAcentral is "SSU rRNA". It matches the Rfam family "Bacterial small subunit ribosomal RNA". The record is from RNAcentral.
GCUACAGGCUUAACACAUGCAAGUCGAGGGGCAGCAUGGUCUUAGCUUGCUAAGGCCGAUGGCGACCGGCGCACGGGUGAGUAACACGUAUCCAACCUGCCGUCUACUCUUGGACAGCCUUCUGAAAGGAAGAUUAAUACAAGAUGGCAUCAUGAGUCCGCAUGUUCACAUGAUUAAAGGUAUUCCGGUAGACGAUGGGGAUGCGUUCCAUUAGAUAGUAGGCGGGGUAACGGCCCACCUAGUCUUCGAUGGAUAGGGGUUCUGAGAGGAAGGUCCCCCACAUUGGAACUGAGACACGGUCCAAACUCCUACGGGAGGCAGCAGUGAGGAAUAUUGGUCAAUGGGCGAGAGCCUGAACCAGCCAAGUAGCGUGAAGGAUGACUGCCCUAUGGGUUGUAAACUUCUUUUAUAAAGGAAUAAAGUCGGGUAUGGAUACCCGUUUGCAUGUACUUUAUGAAUAAGGAUCGGCUAACUCCGUGCCAGCAGCCGCGGUAAUACGGAGGAUCCGAGCGUUAUCCGGAUUUAUUGGGUUUAAAGGGAGCGUAGAUGGAUGUUUAAGUCAGUUGUGAAAGUUUGCGGCUCAACCGUAAAAUUGCAGUUGAUACUGGAUAUCUUGAGUGCAGUUGAGGCAGGCGGAAUUCGUGGUGUAGCGGUGAAAUGCUUAGAUAUCACGAAGAACUCCGAUUGCGAAGGCAGCCUGCUAAGCUGCAACUGACAUUGAGGCUCGAAAGUGUGGGUAUCAAACAGGAUUAGAUACCCUGGUAGUCCACACGGUAAACGAUGAAUACUCGCUGUUUGCGAUAUACUGCAAGCGGCCAAGCGAAAGCGUUAAGUAUUCCACCUGGGGAGUACGCCGGCAACGGUGAAACUCAAAGGAAUUGACGGGGGCCCGCACAAGCGGAGGAACAUGUGGUUUAAUUCGAUGAUACGCGAGGAACCUUACCCGGGCUUAAAUUGCAGAUGAAUUACGGUGAAAGCCGUAAGCCGCAAGGCAUCUGUGAAGGUGCUGCAUGGUUGUCGUCAGCUCGUGCCGUGAGGUGUCGGCUUAAGUGCCAUAACGAGCGCAACCCUUGUUGUCAGUUACUAACAGGUUCCGCUGAGGACUCUGACAAGACUGCCAUCGUAAGAUGUGAGGAAGGUGGGGAUGACGUCAAAUCAGCACGGCCCUUACGUCCGGGGCUACACACGUGUUACAAUGGGGGGUACAGAGGGUCGCUACCACGCGAGUGGAUGCCAAUCCCCAAAACCUCUCUCAGUUCGGACUGGAGUCUGCAACCCGACUCCACGAAGCUGGAUUCGCUAGUAAUCGCGCAUCAGCCACGGCGCGGUGAAUACGUUCCCGGGCCUUGUACACACCGCCCGUCAAGCCAUGGGAGCCGGGGGUACCUGAAGUGCGUAACCGCGAGGAGCGCCCUAGGGUAAAACUGGUGACUGGGGCU